CUCAGUUGCCAGAGUUGUUGGGAAAUUGUGGCAUUGUGAUUAGUAUCGUCUCAGCUGAUUUCUUCGAUCGUUAUCACGAGGCUUUGUCGAUCAGGCUCGCAAAAAUUACGGCAGAAGAUAAUUCUUAUAAAUUCGUGCUGAUCUAAUUUUUAACUCACUCGACGCUGGGGUACGAGGUGCAUCGAACGAUAAGAUUCACACGAAUAUUUCCACCUCGAAUAUAGGAGAUGACUCACUGGAAUUUAACAUUACGUUUCGCUGCAAUAUGUCUGUUUUAUUGCUUGAUAAUUCAGGGUCUUGGUGCACGAAGAUUGCGAAGAAUGUCGGGUGGUACUGAGGCAGAUUCAUCAGUUAUUUUUUAUCAAGCGUCCUUGAGAAGUGACGACUAUCAUUUUUGCGGUGGUGCUAUAAUAAGCGAGAAGCACAUUCUCACUGCUGCACACUGUGUCGCUGAUUUGUUUGUACCACCUUACGAUGAUUUAACAGUGGUCACGGGGUCUGGUGCACUCCGAGGUGGUAAUCAACAUGAAGUAUUCAAUGUCAGUUGGCACCAGGAGUUUCACCUGGAGUCUCGUGCUAAUGACAUUGCCGUUAUUACCCUGAGACAAGAGAUAAAUUAUGAUGAAUUUCAAGGACCAGUACUACUACCCGAAUCUCCACCGCCGUACAAUGUGAAAGGUGUGGUAAGUGGAUUUGGUCGGCUUAAAAAGGACAACAUAUAUCCAUCGAAGACCCUUCAGAGAACUUCCGCGGUCGUCAUCACCAGAGAGGAUUGUCAGAAAUUCAUGAACUACACACUUUUACACGGUCAAAUUUGUGGUUCUGCUCCGAGGGGCGUUGGGAUUCAGAAGGAUGAACGAGUUUAAUAAGUUAUCAGAUCGUGAUAAAUUAAAUUCUUCAGAAUUUUUGUUUGGAAAUCCGUGGGGAUUAACUUUUGCGUGGUACUGUCUUGGCAUAUCUUGAGCCCGAAACCGACAAUUAUCUUAGGCCUCUUUUACGGGAGACAGUGGUGGUCCUCUUGUGGUGGAUAACGUCGUCGUUGGCAUAGCAUCAUGGAAUAUUCCAUGGGAUCCGGCGGCUCCUGACGGCUAUACUGAUGUGUACGAAUAUAUGGACUUUAUCAAGAUGAUCAUGAAGCA
RNA transcript from Diachasmimorpha longicaudata, 1139 nucleotides. It is a transcript of the gene named chymotrypsin-2-like, with no coding region annotated. NCBI's taxonomy places the organism in Eukaryota, Metazoa, Arthropoda, Insecta, Hymenoptera, Braconidae. The transcript is spliced from 5 exons. The record is from RefSeq and is a predicted model, not a curated record.